GACAGAGGGUGCAAACGUUGUUCGGAAUUACUGGGCGUAAAGCGCACGUAGGCGGCUCAGCAAGUCAGGGGUGAAAUCCCGGGGCUCAACCCCGGAACUGCCCUUGAAACUGCUAAGCUAGAAUCUUGGAGAGGCGAGUGGAAUUCCGAGUGUAGAGGUGAAAUUCGUAGAUAUUCGGAAGAACACCAGUGGCGAAGGCGACUCGCUGGACAAGUAUUGACGCUGAGGUGCGAAAGCGUGGGGAGCAAACAGG
This 253-nucleotide ribosomal RNA is filed under the name uncultured bacterium. RNAcentral's name for it is "partial 16S ribosomal RNA". It matches the Rfam family "Bacterial small subunit ribosomal RNA", at positions 524 to 776 of the family's 1533-position model. The record is from RNAcentral.